RNAcentral lists this ribosomal RNA (467 nucleotides) under uncultured bacterium. RNAcentral's name for it is "partial 16S ribosomal RNA". It matches the Rfam family "Bacterial small subunit ribosomal RNA", at positions 28 to 506 of the family's 1533-position model. The record is from RNAcentral.
GACGAACGCUGGCGGCGUGCUUAACACAUGCAAGUCGAACGGAAAGGCCCUGCUUUUGUGGGGUGCUCGAGUGGCGAACGGGUGAGUAACACGUGAGUAACCUGCCCUUGACUUUGGGAUAACUUCAGGAAACUGGGGCUAAUACCGGAUAGGAGCUCCUGCUGCAUGGUGGGGGUUGGAAAGUUUCGGCGGUUGGGGAUGGACUCGCGGCUUAUCAGCUUGUUGGUGGGGUAGUGGCUUACCAAGGCUUUGACGGGUAGCCGGCCUGAGAGGGUGACCGGCAACAUUGGGACGGGGUUCCGGCCCGGACCCCUAGGGGGGGAAGAGGUGGGGAAUAUGGACCAUGGGGCGAAGGCUUGAUGCAGCACCCCCGGGGGGGGAAGGAGGGCCUUCGGGUUGUAAACCGCUUUCGCUGGUAACGAAGCGGAGGGGACGGAAAUGGGAAAGGAAGCACCGGCAAACUACGU